This is a non-coding RNA of Chelonoidis abingdonii (Abingdon island giant tortoise), 185 nucleotides long. The record is from RefSeq and is a predicted model, not a curated record. NCBI's taxonomy places the organism in Eukaryota, Metazoa, Chordata, Testudines, Testudinidae.
UUUGUCUCUCUGUUGUUCUCCGGAGAGAGGAGACAGAGCAAAACAGGGCUGAAGUUAUGCUGUAAAAAGCUGUGAACCAGUUAUGAAAAUCACCAGAUCAUACCUAAAACUACUCAAUCUGAAACCCCAGAUAUGUAAGUAGAUCAGAAAAUGUCUAAAAAUAUAAAAUUAGGUUCAUUUCUUUU